RNAcentral lists this unclassified non-coding RNA (205 nucleotides) under rhizosphere metagenome. RNAcentral's name for it is "partial ribosomal RNA internal transcribed spacer region". The record is from RNAcentral.
UAUUAUAAGCAAAGCCGGGUACAAGAGCGAUCGCUUCGGCGCAACUCUUGUCAUGGUCGCGCGAAUAUUCACCCAUGUUUUUGCGUACUUCUUGUUUCCUUGGUGGGCUCGCCCACCGUAGGACAACCAUUAAACCUUUUGCAAUUGCAGUCAGCGUCAGUAAAAUGUAAUCGUUACAACUUUCAACAACGGAUCUCUUGGUUCU